GGCGAACGCUGGCGGCGCGCUUAACACAUGCAAGUCGAACGGAAAGGCCUGCUUUCCCUUGUGGAUUGCGGGUACUCGAGUGGCGAACGGGUGAGUAACACGUGAGUGAUCUGCCCCCAACUUGGGUAUAAGCCUGGGAAACUGGGUCUAAUUCCCGAUAGGACUGCAGGGUGGUGCCUGUGGUGGAAAACGAUUUUCUAGUGGUUGGGGAUGAGCUCGCGGCCUAUCAGCUUGUUGGUGGGGUAAUGGCCUACCAAGGCGGCGACGGGUAGCCGGCCUGAGAGGGUGGACGGCAACAUUGGGACUGAGAUACGGCCCAGACUCCUACGGGAGGCAGCAGUGGGGAAUAUGGCACAAUGGGCGGAAGCCUGAUGCAGCGACGCCGCGUGGGGGAUGACGGCCUUCGGGUUGUAAACUCCUUUCGACCGCGAGGAAGCCACCUGGUUGGAAGGGUGGUGACGGUAGUGGUAGAAGAAGCACCGGCUAACUACGUG
RNAcentral lists this ribosomal RNA (494 nucleotides) under uncultured bacterium. RNAcentral's name for it is "partial 16S ribosomal RNA". It matches the Rfam family "Bacterial small subunit ribosomal RNA", at positions 28 to 507 of the family's 1533-position model. The record is from RNAcentral.